The sequence is a regulatory RNA element, 54 nucleotides long. It matches the Rfam family "DUF3800-VI RNA". From Rfam's summary of the family: Actinobacteria, Planctomycetes, Proteobacteria, Spirochaetes. The record is from Rfam.
CGGUUGAGAGAGCUGCCUUCAGCAGUUCGUUGGACCUUGGUGUUCACUCGGCCG